UCGGGGUACUCGAGUGGCGAACGGGUGAGUAACACGUGGGUGAUCUGCCCUGCACUUUGGGAUAAGCCUGGGAAACUGGGUCUAAUACGGAAUAGGACCACGCGCUUCAUGGUGUGUGGUGGAAAGCUUUUGCGGUGUGGGAUGGGCCCGCGGCCUAUCAGCUUUUUGGUGGGGUAAUGGCCUACCAAGGCGACGACGGGUAGCCGGCCUGAGAGGGUGACCGGCCACACUGGGACUGAGAUACGGCCCAGACUCCUACGGGAGGCAGCAGUGGGGAAUAUUGCACAAUGGGCGCAAGCCUGAUGCAGCGACGCCGCGUGAGGGAUGACGGCCUUUCGGGUUGUAAACCUCUUUCAAUAGGGACGAAGCGCAAGUGACGGUACCUAUAGAAGAAGCACCGGCCAACUACGUGCCAGCAGCCGCGGUAAUACGUAGGGUGCGAGCGUUGUCCGGAAUUACUGGGCGUAAAGAGCUCGUAGGUGGUUUGUCGCGUUGUUCGUGAAAACUCACAGCUUAACUGUGGGCGUGCGGGCGAUACGGGCAGACUAGAGUACUGCAGGGGAGACUGGAAUUCCUGGUGUAGCGGUGGAAUGCGCAGAUAUCAGGAGGAACACCGGUGGCGAAGGCGGGUCUCUGGGCAGUAACUGACGCUGAGGAGCGAAAGCGUGGGGAGCGAACAGGAUUAGAUACCCUGGUAGUCCACGCCGUAAACGGUGGGUACUAGGUGUGGGUUCCUUCCUUGGGAUCCGUGCCGUAGCUAACGCAUUAAGUACCCCGCCUGGGGAGUACGGCCGCAAGGCUAAAACUCAAAGGAAUUGACGGGGGCCCGCACAAGCGGCGGAGCAUGUGGAUUAAUUCGAUGCAACGCGAAGAACCUUACCUGGGUUUGACAUGCACAGGACGCCCGGCAGAGAUGUCGGUUCCCUUGUGGCCUGUGUGCAGGUGGUGCAUGGCUGUCGUCAGCUCGUGUCGUGAGAUGUUGGGUUAAGUCCCGCAACGAGCGCAACCCUUGUCCUAUGUUGCCAGCGGGUUAUGCCGGGGACUCGUAGGAGACUGCCGGGGUCAACUCGGAGGAAGGUGGGGAUGACGUCAAGUCAUCAUGCCCCUUAUGUCCAGGGCUUCACACAUGCUACAAUGGCCGGUACAAAGGGCUGCGAUGCCGUGAGGUGGAGCGAAUCCUUUCAAAGCCGGUCUCAGUUYGGAUCGGGGUCUGCAACUCGACCCCGUGAAGUCGGAGUCGCUAGUAAUCGCAGAUCAGCAACGCUGCGGUGAAUACGUUCCCGGGCCUUGUUACACACCGCCCGUCACGUCAUGAAAGUCGGUAACACCCGA
RNAcentral lists this ribosomal RNA (1332 nucleotides) under Mycobacterium sp. DWMJ-1587B2. RNAcentral describes it as "bacterial SSU rRNA". It matches the Rfam family "Bacterial small subunit ribosomal RNA", at positions 82 to 1424 of the family's 1533-position model. The record is from RNAcentral. Lineage: Bacteria; Bacillati; Actinomycetota; Actinomycetes; Mycobacteriales; Mycobacteriaceae.